RNAcentral lists this long non-coding RNA (430 nucleotides) under Androctonus crassicauda. Lineage: Eukaryota; Metazoa; Arthropoda; Arachnida; Scorpiones; Buthidae. The record is from RNAcentral.
GUUAAAAAUAAAAAAAAAGUAUUAUUUUACCUAAAUAAAUCAUUCUAAUUUAUAUUAUUUUACAUAAAACAUAGGUUCCUUAAACUAGUAAAUGAUGAUAGUAAGGUGAUUUGCUUAAGGCUAAAUCAGUGAUGUUUUAACACAUGGCCAAAACCUGGCAGCCAGCCACCAGGGGCCUCGGGUUUUCAGGGGCUUCAUGUGUAGCAUUAUUAUUAUUAUUAUUCCAGAUUUUCCUAUAUUUUGUUUAGGGAGUUUUGUUAUUACUUUUGACAGGUCAUAUAGCACUCAAUUCUUCACUAGGUCAAAUCAUCUUACUAAUACCAACAAUCAAGUCUUAAAUGAUCUUCCAUUAAUUUGGUCAAGUCUUAAUUUGAUCUUCCAUUCAAGUUUGGUCAAAUUAAUCAAGUCUUAAUUUGGUCUUCCAUUAUAC